GUCCUAUGCAACUCUAGGUGUCUCCUGGAGAAGUCCUAGACCCUGGUCACAGGGCUCCCUCAGCUCUCUGAGGAACCUUUCUGCAAUUCUGUCUUGGUAGGAGGCCAAGUCUUUUGUAGUGGGCAUCAAGGUACCUUAAAGAUCCGAUGUCCUCAAAUCAAUGUCCUUUAGAGGUCCUGGGUCUCCUUAUUAGACUGAAAGCUCUUGGCAGGGAGAAACUGGGUUUUCAAUUGCUCCUGUCUUUUCUCAGUCUCCCAAGAGCAGUGCUGAGAAGAAAGCAAGUGUUUGAUAGAUGUGUGUGUGUGUGAAGCAGAGACACAGUGGAGGGACUGCAGAUAGUCCCUCCACUCCCUCUCCAUUCCUUCAGCCUCACUGCCUGGUGCCAGCUGUGCACUUUAGGGCUGCAGUACUGCACAGGUGUACAAGAAGAGGGUGGCUGUGCCACCUCCUCAGGGGCUGUGUGUCACGAGCCAUUCAUGGAUUGCAUGUGGGUCACUGAGCAUGGAAGCCUCGUGGAUAGAGACAUUUGGUGUCUGGGAAUAACCAAAGGACAUUUCCUCUGGUCAAUUGCCCAGGGAAAAUGUGAAUCUUUCCCGCUCUGCAGUGGCCCAGCCCACACAGCACCUAAGAUGGUAUGACCUGCAGAGAUGUCAAGCAACUUGCUGACUUCAAGACAUCAGGAAGCAAGACUCUGCCCUUGAAACCUUGUCCCUGCCUUUGAGGUAUCCCCUUAAAUAAACCACCA
RNAcentral lists this long non-coding RNA (745 nucleotides) under Marmota monax (woodchuck). Lineage: Eukaryota; Metazoa; Chordata; Mammalia; Rodentia; Sciuridae. The record is from RNAcentral.